This is a non-coding RNA of Potamilus streckersoni, 67 nucleotides long. Lineage: Eukaryota; Metazoa; Mollusca; Bivalvia; Unionida; Unionidae. The record is from the annotation of a GenBank genome assembly.
GUGGCCUAGUGGUUAGAGCGUCCGCCUCGGAUGCAGGAAAUCGCGGGUUAGAACCCUGACCAAGCCA